UACGAAGGGGGCUAGCGUUGCUCGGAAUGACUGGGCGUAAAGGGCGCGUAGGCGGAUGGCACAGUCAGAUGUGAAAUUCCCGGGCUUAACCUGGGGGCUGCAUUUGAUACGUGUGAUCUAGAGUGAGGAAGAGGGUCGUGGAAUUCCCAGUGUAGAGGUGAAAUUCGUAGAUAUUGGGAAGAACACCGGUGGCGAAGGCGGCGACCUGGUCCUUGACUGACGCUGAGGCGCGAAAGCUAGGGGAGCAAACAGG
RNAcentral lists this ribosomal RNA (253 nucleotides) under uncultured bacterium. RNAcentral's name for it is "partial 16S ribosomal RNA". It matches the Rfam family "Bacterial small subunit ribosomal RNA", at positions 524 to 776 of the family's 1533-position model. The record is from RNAcentral.